Molecule: non-coding RNA, 27 nt
Filed under: Cricetulus griseus (Chinese hamster)
Lineage: Eukaryota; Metazoa; Chordata; Mammalia; Rodentia; Cricetidae
Source: RNAcentral
CUGCCUGUGCUCAUUGAAUUCACUAAG